UUGUCAAAGCGAUAAAGAGGUUCGGUCUUUCUGAAAACUAGUCGUCACUUCAGCCUUCCAAAGAGGUAAAAAUAAGAGCCCUAAACUUAAAAUUUGUAGCUAACAGUUUUGGUAGUACAGAACAAACAUGUUUAUACCUCCCAAAGGUUUUUGUCUCUAGGGAACAUAUCUGAAAGGGAUAAUGUUAGAAGCUUGCUUGUUUCCUA
This 206-nucleotide long non-coding RNA is filed under the name Carica papaya (papaya). RNAcentral describes it as "long non-coding RNA (CPAP_LNC002387)". The record is from RNAcentral. Lineage: Eukaryota; Viridiplantae; Streptophyta; Magnoliopsida; Brassicales; Caricaceae.